RNAcentral lists this long non-coding RNA (411 nucleotides) under Nicotiana benthamiana. RNAcentral's name for it is "long non-coding RNA (NBEN_LNC032696)". Lineage: Eukaryota; Viridiplantae; Streptophyta; Magnoliopsida; Solanales; Solanaceae. The record is from RNAcentral.
GAAAUGAACCAGAAAAAUUUGUUUGUCCUGCAUUUUCAAUCGCAUUAGGCUGCACAUUGCACCUGUGAUGAUGUCCAUCCAGAUCAACCACCUGCCUAGAAAGUGCACUAGAAGGACAACAGUCUACAUUAUUCUGCAUUGCCCCAGCAGUAACAACAUUUGUUUGUGCAUAGCUAUUAGAAACUGGAGCAUCUGUAGAAGGCUUAGAAGGUCGUUUAUCCAACUUCAAUAUCUCCUCAAUAUUCUGAACUGUAACUUCUCCAUGUGCUACAUCUGAUACAGCAUCAACCACAUCACUCUUAGACAUAACAUCAUCCCUAUCAUUCACAGUAGGAUGAGAAGUCUUUAGGACAUCAGUAUUUUUUGUAACAUCUGUUACAAUAACAGGUUGUGCAGCUGAAUCAAUUCGAC